UUGCCAAUUGCCAACCCAUUCGAAAUUCUGGACGUGGCCGCCACUCAACGUUUACCUUCUUCGUUCUCCUUAUUUACAUUCUCAGAUUCUUCACUUCAUUCUGCAACUUCCGAGCUAUGGCUAUGGCGUCCCAAGAAUGGCCGCGAAACGUCAAUCUCAUCUUCAAGAAAUUCUUGCAUCUUCUCACUGUCACUCUCCUCAGCCUCUCGCUUCCACUUUCAUUUCUUCUCUUUUGCAGGCUCGCUCGUUCUCAGUAUCUACAGGCUUUUCUUUCUCCGUCAACGCCUCUUACUUCUUCUUUCGUUGCAUAUGCUGACCGAGUUCUACUUUUGGUUCUUAUUUCUCUCAUCGCCAUAGCUGCUUUUCUCGAUAACUUGCUUGGUAAAUCGAUUCUUCCGGCGAGACCGUCUGGCCUGAGCGCGGCUUGGAUCGGUCUAUGUGCGUUACAGGUCGGUAUGGCGUUGGGAAUGGACGAGGGAUUGGCGAUUGCUAUCGACGCCUCGAGCAUAGGAUUUCGGAGAAAUUUGUGGUGCCGGUUGAUGUUUUUCUUAGGGUUGCAUACGGCGAUGAUUCAUUGGUCGAAGGCGGCGGUGAAGCCGGUGGUGGACGAUACCGUUUUCGGAACGCCUGUGGAGGAGAGUUGGAGUGAAAGAAUCGCCAUGGCGGUGAGCUUUGGGGGAUUAUGGUGGUGGAGGUUGAGAGAUGAAGCUGAAUCUCCGGCGAUUGCUGCGGAAAGCAAGAUGGAGCUUCUUAUCGACCUAACUAUGGUGGAUUUCGCCGGUUGGGCUCUCUAUUACCUCAUUAUCGCAAUCGGAUUCGUUAAAACUUCGAGAAUCUUUGUUUGGUUUCUGAAAUUUAUCCUUCGCGAGAGGAAGGAGGAAAGUUCUUCCCAAUUCUCCCAAUCCAAACGGAUUGAAGUCGUCUGAGAUUAAGCCUCUUCUGUAACUAUUGAUUUCUCCUAUUUGAGUUAUUUCAUUUUUAUGGGCAGGAGGUUUCUACCCCCUCUAAUGGCAGCCAGGAGAAGCAGGGGACUGAACUCAGAUGCAAAGAAGACGAUUCUCUUUAGAAUGGAAGUGUUUGGAGAUUUCAACCUCUAUGAACAGAACAUUUCCAAGAUUGGAGAUCAAGCAAACUGUCAACAAUCCUCCUUAGAUUGUUUAAUUCUCGAUCAAUUGCUGUUCGGUAAUGACUUAUCAUAAUAUUUCUUACAAGGGUGGAAAUCUCCCCUAACAGAACAUUUUAAAAAU
Cucurbita moschata (crookneck pumpkin) is the source of this 1247-nucleotide RNA transcript. RefSeq lists it as uncharacterized. NCBI's taxonomy places the organism in Eukaryota, Viridiplantae, Streptophyta, Magnoliopsida, Cucurbitales, Cucurbitaceae. The record is from RefSeq and is a predicted model, not a curated record. The transcript has 2 exons.